Molecule: transfer RNA, 65 nt
Filed under: Grimmia alpestris
Lineage: Eukaryota; Viridiplantae; Streptophyta; Bryopsida; Grimmiales; Grimmiaceae
Description: partial transfer RNA-Leu
Source: RNAcentral
UCGAAAUCGGUAGAAAUUGUAGUAAAAAGAAAAUCCGUUGGCUUUAUUGACCGUGAGGGUUCAAG